Molecule: long non-coding RNA, 283 nt
Filed under: Elaeis guineensis (African oil palm)
Lineage: Eukaryota; Viridiplantae; Streptophyta; Magnoliopsida; Arecales; Arecaceae
Description: long non-coding RNA (EGUI_LNC041706)
Source: RNAcentral
GUGCUCUGCAGUAAACCAUGUCCCUCCAAAUGGCCGAUAGUGCACCAACAUAUCCAGUUUCUACUCGUAGUUUAUCCGCACUUUCUGAACUCAUCCGAUCCUCUCCUCGACCUAUGGGCCCCAUAGCGGCAUCGGCCCCUACAUCGACUGUCGACCAAUCCUCGCAUCGGCCUCCACUCCUAGCUCUAGCUAUUGAGCCCCCAAGAAGCUUCUUUAUGGCCCCAUCACGUCACCCGUUUAAAAAAUAGGAAUGACUAUGAGUAAGGCGAGUCCUCCAUGCUCU